UGAUGGUAGCAUACUUGAAGUACCAAUGGUCACUUGGCGAGGAUCAUAAGCGAAAGGAAGCCUUUGCUAGGUUGCAGGACCUUGCUAUGGACCUCUCAAGAACAGCUACUCUUCAACCAGUAAUGCAGAAUGCAUUAGUUACUUCUUCUGGUGAACCACUUGUUUCUGUAUGUACCUCAGACUCGGAACUUGGAAGUGGGUACUUUCUCCUGGUUUGGAUGGUGAUUCUAUACAAGAAAUUCUUAGUGCAUUUAGAAAUUCUGCUCACUGUGCAACGAAGUGGGGAAAGGCAUGGCAUACUAG
Long non-coding RNA from Solanum stenotomum, 303 nucleotides. RefSeq lists it as uncharacterized. The record is from RefSeq and is a predicted model, not a curated record. The transcript is spliced from 3 exons. Lineage: Eukaryota; Viridiplantae; Streptophyta; Magnoliopsida; Solanales; Solanaceae.